Molecule: ribosomal RNA, 145 nt
Filed under: uncultured Janthinobacterium sp.
Lineage: Bacteria; Pseudomonadati; Pseudomonadota; Betaproteobacteria; Burkholderiales; Oxalobacteraceae
Description: partial 16S ribosomal RNA
Rfam family: Bacterial small subunit ribosomal RNA
Source: RNAcentral
CGGGAGGCAGCAGUGGGGAAUUUUGGACAAUGGGCGCAAGCCUGAUCCAGCAAUGCCGCGUGAGUGAAGAAGGCCUUCGGGUUGUAAAGCUCUUUUGUUCAGGGAAGAAACGGUCCGGGCUAAUAUCCUGGGCUAAUGACGGUAC